This 440-nucleotide ribosomal RNA is filed under the name uncultured bacterium. RNAcentral describes it as "partial 16S ribosomal RNA". It matches the Rfam family "Bacterial small subunit ribosomal RNA", at positions 338 to 795 of the family's 1533-position model. The record is from RNAcentral.
ACUACGGGAGGCAGCAGUGGGGGAUAUUGCACAAUGGGGGGAACCCUGAUGCAGCGACGCCGCGUGGGUGAAGAAGCGCCUCGGCGCGUAAAGCCCUGUCAGCAGGGAAGAAAAUGACGGUACCUGAAGAAGAAGCCCCGGCUAACUACGUGCCAGCAGCCGCGGUAAUACGUAGGGGGCAAGCGUUAUCCGGAUUUACUGGGUGUAAAGGGGGCGCAGACGGCGAUGCAAGCCAGGAGUGAAAGCCCGGGGCCCAACCCCGGGACUGCUCUUGGAACUGCGUGGCUGGAGUGCAGGAGGGGCAGGCGGAAUGCCUGGUGUAGCGGUGAAAUGCGUAGAUAUCAGGAGGAACACCGGUGGCGAAGGCGGCCUGCUGGACUGCAACUGACGUUGAGGCCCGAAAGCGUGGGGAGCAAACAGGAUUAGAUACCCCAGUAGUC